CCUACGGGUGGCAGCAGUAGGGAAUAUUGCUCAAUGGGGGAAACCCUGAAGCAGCAACGCCGCGUGGAGGAUGAAGGUUUUCGGAUUGUAAACUCCUUUUGUUAGAGAAGAUAAUGACGGGUUCUAACUAAUAAGCACCGGCCAACUACCGGCCAGCAGCCGCGGUAAUACGGAGGGGGCAAGCGUUUGUCGGAAUCACUGGGCGUAAAGAGCGCGUAGGCGGGAUAGCAAGUCAGAUGUGAAAUCCUAUGGCUUAACCAUAGAACUGCAUUUGAAACUGUUUUUCUAGAGUGUGGGAGAGGUAGGUGGAAUUCUUGGUGUAGGGGUGAAAUGCGUAGAGAUAAAGAGGAAUACU
RNAcentral lists this ribosomal RNA (355 nucleotides) under uncultured bacterium. RNAcentral's name for it is "partial 16S ribosomal RNA". It matches the Rfam family "Bacterial small subunit ribosomal RNA", at positions 338 to 710 of the family's 1533-position model. The record is from RNAcentral.